This 253-nucleotide ribosomal RNA is filed under the name uncultured bacterium. RNAcentral describes it as "partial 16S ribosomal RNA". It matches the Rfam family "Bacterial small subunit ribosomal RNA", at positions 524 to 776 of the family's 1533-position model. The record is from RNAcentral.
UACAGAGACUGCAAGCGUUAUUCGGAUUCACUGGGCGUAAAGGGUGCGCAGGCGGUUGGGUGUGUCAGAUGUGAAAUCCCGAGGCUCAACCUCGGAACUGCGUCUGAAACUACUCGACUAGAGUACUGGAGAGGGUAACGGAAUUCACGGUGUAGCAGUGAAAUGCGUAGAUAUCGUGAGGAACACCAGAGGCGAAGGCGGUUACCUGGACAGUUACUGACGCUCAGGCACGAAAGCAUGGGGAGCAAACGGG